RNAcentral lists this ribosomal RNA (406 nucleotides) under uncultured bacterium. RNAcentral describes it as "partial 16S ribosomal RNA". It matches the Rfam family "Bacterial small subunit ribosomal RNA", at positions 29 to 526 of the family's 1533-position model. The record is from RNAcentral.
AUUGAACGCUGGCGGCAGGCCUAACACAUGCAAGUCGAGCGAGCGGCGGACGGGUGAGUAAUGUCUGGGAAACUGCCUGAUGGAGGGGGAUAACUACUGGAAACGGUAGCUAAUACCGCAUACCAUCAGAUGUGCCCAGAUGGGAUUAGCUGGUAGGUGGGGUAACGGCGCACCUAGGCGACGAUCCCUAGCUGGUCUGAGAGGAUGACCAGCCACAUUGGAACGGAGACCAGUCCGAACCUCCUACGGGAGGCAGCAGUGGGGAAUAUUGCACAAUGGGCGCAAGCCUGAUCCAGCCAGGCCGCGUGUGUGAAGAAGGCCUUCGGGUUGUAAAGCAAUUUCAGCGGGGAGGCGUUACCCGCAGAAGAAGCACCGGCUAACUCCGUGCCAGCAGCCGCGGUAAUAC